RNAcentral lists this ribosomal RNA (253 nucleotides) under uncultured bacterium. Its description in RNAcentral is "partial 16S ribosomal RNA". It matches the Rfam family "Bacterial small subunit ribosomal RNA", at positions 524 to 776 of the family's 1533-position model. The record is from RNAcentral.
UACGUAGGGUGCAAGCGUUGUCCGGAAUUAUUGGGCGUAAAGAGCUCGUAGGCGGUCUGUCGCGUCUGCUGUGAAAACUCGGGGCUUAACCCCGGGCCUGCAGUGGGUACGGGCAGACUAGAGUGCGGUAGGGGAGACUGGAAUUCCUGGUGUAGCGGUGAAAUGCGCAGAUAUCAGGAGGAACACCUGAGGUGAAGACGGGUUGCUGGGCUGACACUGACGCUGAGGCGCGAAAGCCAGGGGAGCAAACGGG